This is a small nucleolar RNA of Accipiter nisus (Eurasian sparrowhawk), 66 nucleotides long. Its record names the gene SNORD24. It matches the Rfam family "Small nucleolar RNA SNORD24". From Rfam's summary of the family: U24 is a member of the C/D class of snoRNA which contain the C (UGAUGA) and D (CUGA) box motifs. C/D box snoRNAs have been shown to act as methylation guides for a number of RNA targets. U24 is encoded within an intron of the gene for ribosomal protein L7a in mammals, chicken and Fugu. Lineage: Eukaryota; Metazoa; Chordata; Aves; Accipitriformes; Accipitridae. The record is from Ensembl.
UGCAAAUGAUGUUAACUUUUUGCUGUCUAAAUACACUUGAUGACAACCACCAAGAUCGCUGAUGCA